GGGCCCGGUGUUGACUACGGGGGUUUUUAUUCUCCCAGAAUGAGGAUGAUGACGACGACGAGGAUGACGACGAGGAUGACGAUGAGGAUGAAGACAACGAGUCUGAGGGCAGUAGCUCCAGCUCCUCAUCUUCAGGGGACUCCUCAGAUUCUGACUCCAAUUGAGGCUCCGCCUCCACCCCAGGCAGGCGGGCAGGCAGGCAGCCAAGGAGAGCCGCUGCAGAGCUUACCUCCCCAACUGACCACCUUUGUCUCCCCCUAUGUUCUGUCCCCUGUCCCCCCCAGACUCCCCCACUUUCUUUCUUUCCUUUAAAAAAAAAAUUCAGUGGGGUAGGAGGCUGCGUGAGCCCAGGCUAGGACUCUGCAGCCUUGGAGCGUCAGC
RNAcentral lists this long non-coding RNA (381 nucleotides) under Rattus norvegicus (Norway rat). RNAcentral's name for it is "long non-coding RNA NONRATT006080". Lineage: Eukaryota; Metazoa; Chordata; Mammalia; Rodentia; Muridae. The record is from RNAcentral.